GUAGAGUUGCUGGUCGGUAGUUGGACUCGCAAUCCAAAGGUCAUCAGUUCGAAUCCCAGACUGGACG
This 67-nucleotide transfer RNA is filed under the name Culex quinquefasciatus (southern house mosquito). RNAcentral describes it as "tRNA-Ser". The record is from RNAcentral. Lineage: Eukaryota; Metazoa; Arthropoda; Insecta; Diptera; Culicidae.